ACCGAAAGUGUCAGGUGCUGCAGACCUUCAACCACUGAUGCAGUUUUCAACAUUUGACAAGCAGCAGUUGAUUCUGCCAGCCGAAAGCAGACGUCCCUCACUCACUGUAGCUGAAGAGCCAAAGAUAAAUGAAAGUGAUCCAAACGAGAACUUCACAUUUGCUGAUACCAUUUCUUAGUCACAUCUGCAAGUCUGUCAGUCAGUCUCAUUCUUGUUGAGUCAGCAAGUUUGCGGAACAUGCAUGGAUUCUCAGAAAACUUGGGACUGAUUUUUAUCAUUACAGAGGGACAGAUUUCAGCAUUUUCCCUGAGGGUUGUCGGACUGAGAAGUAUCCCGAUCCUGUUCCAGCAGACACCGUCAAUUUUAACAAAUACAGACCUGCCAGGCAACAGCCAAAACGUCAUAUGGCUACAGACCCACUGAAGAAAAGAAGACUUUUAUCUGAAAUUGUUGCUAGAACCAAAUUUAUCAAACAUCGAAUGGAUCUGCAGAAAUACCAACAUCGGAGCCAGCUUCAAGCAGUAUAGAUACAUCAAAAGAGCUGUCUUCACUGGAUGUGCUGGCCUUAGUGGCAGAAAAUAAAAUUCUACAGCAGCAGUUAGCCAAGCAUGUGCUGAACAGUCAGAUAAAAGUUAACUUUAGAUAUUAUACAGGAUUUUUGUUUGUACAGUUCAUAAAUAUUUUCAAGUUUUUGGUGCCUUAGGAAUAUGCACGACCAUUCAGUAUCAAGCAACAGUGAUAACAUUAAAGGGACUUGUGGGAAUAAGCCUCAGAAUAUCAUUUACCUUCAUAUCCAUGCUUUUCUCUGGAUCAGUCUCAGAUAAGGAUAUUACAGCUUCAAGUGGAUUACUAGCUUUACUUCAGCAUUUAAUGAUAGCGGAAAAUGGAAAAGGGUUUCAUAUUCAGGAUGGAAUAAAAAAAACAAAACAACCUUACAUUCCACCUUUUGCAUCAGCCACAUCACAAAUCGAGCUGUAUAUUGAAAUAGAAGCAGGAGUUUCAUUCUAUGCCCUUGAAAUCUCAACUGCAGAUGUAGCUCUUAUCUAAUACAAGACUAUCCUGGUAAGCUAAAGCACUGCCAAUAUUUUGGGCACCAUGCUCGGUCAUGACAGUUAGGUUUGGUAGAGAAGCCAAAUAUUCAAUUGGGGUAGACUUAAACCCUUGAAGAUGCUGUAUGAAGAUAGCUGUACUUUUAGGAAACAAGAUCACUAUAUUGUAAACCUUUACAUACUAAAAUAGACAUUACAAUUUAAUUGAAACAAAUGACUAUUUUUAGCAUUUAACAAGAUAGAAAAAUGUUUUGUUUCUGUAAUGUCCAUUUUUUUUUGUGUAUGCUUCAUCAAAUAGAAUAAAACAUUUUUCAGUUAAAUUACAUUUUACAUAUAUUUGCAACUUCCUUGCAGUUAAGCAACCAACCCUCAUAGGAAAAAAGAAACCUGAAAACAAUACAAGUUGAAUAAUAUACAUUAAGUUUUACAGAAUGGCUAGUCAGUUUAGUAGCCAAAAGUAUCACUGGAGCACUGGAGGGCCAAUUGUAUACGUACACUUAUUGAACAGCUUGCUGGUCAAUAGGCAAAACUAUUGACAUCAGGAAGUCUGUCUCCCCCACCACAUUCACCCCCACUCGGGGAAACAUACUGUUUUUGCCCUGUCAGUCUGUCUGAAAUCUUAUCUUUGACAUGGUGUAGGGUAUUUAAACAUAACAUGAUAGAAGACUUAAAUGUUAACUGCUGUAGUUGGCACUUCUAUUAGCUCACCUGAGCCAAAGACUCAAAGUGAGCUUUUGUGACUGUCGUGCGUUGUCCGUGUGUCAACA
Molecule: long non-coding RNA, 1816 nt
Organism: Mercenaria mercenaria
Lineage: Eukaryota; Metazoa; Mollusca; Bivalvia; Venerida; Veneridae
Exons: 5
Source: RefSeq, a predicted model, not a curated record